Molecule: long non-coding RNA, 6309 nt
Filed under: Triticum aestivum (bread wheat)
Lineage: Eukaryota; Viridiplantae; Streptophyta; Magnoliopsida; Poales; Poaceae
Description: long non-coding RNA (TAES_LNC005873)
Source: RNAcentral
UAAGAUGAAAAUAUUGCAAUAGUCAGUGGACACAAUAGGUAAUGUGAAUUAUGUGAGAUGGUCAAAUGUUAAUGUAUAUAAACAUAGUAAGAAUGGUGAUUCCAAAAUGAAGAUGCUUUGAAAGGCAACAACCAUGUCAGAACACAUUGCUUGCCCAAGAUAUAAUGGAUUGAAGCUAUUAAAUGAAUAAAGCAGGAAUACGAUCUAAUUCAAAGGAUAAUAGGAAAAAUGAUACACAAACAUGCUAGUCGUCUUAGUCUUCCUUCACUUUGUGGUUCUCCCAUUUGUUAUCUCCACUCCAUCUAAUAUUAAUGUGUGUGUUACCUAAAGGAAUAUAAAAGAAGGUAAGAAAAUAUCUAGCAUGCAAAGACGAAUUCCAGAUUGAUCCAUACAAAACCUGGUCUGUGCUAAAAAAAGAUGAAAAGAAACAACCUGCAUGUAAUAAAGUUCACCUUUGCGUUUCAAAAAAAGUAAAAUUCACCUUGUUGUGAUUAGAAAUACCCCAAGCUCCUUCCAUUACCGACCUUGGUAAGCUUCAGAUUGACGACUGUAUAACUUCAGUAUAGUUUACAUCCUAAAACACAACAUAAGAUAAUCCAUGUUUGAAAUUUUCUACAUGCAGUAAGUGGAUUAAGCUAAUCAUUGAAGAGCAAAUAUAUCUUACCUUCCAUCUGAUCCCAACCAAUUGAAGCUGAAUUUCCUGAGUAAUUGACACCUAAUUGGCUAACAAACUAAGAGUGAAAUUACAUAACAGCAAGGCAAAAAGUUUGAGGCUAACACAAUCAAGAAACAAUACAGUAUGCCAAAAAAAUGUAUUACUCCCUCCGUUCCGAAAUGUAGGUCGCUGGGGCUUGUGUUCCGACCAGGUGAAAAGUUGACAAUUGACCUGAAUACCAUCCCUUCAAAAUUUGAAUCCCGAUCGAUCGUCUUCCACCUCCGCCUCCGCCCUCCACCUCCACCUCCGCUUCCGCCCUCCACCUCCACCGACCCUCACCUCCUCCCUCCAGCUCCAUCUCCACCUCCACCCUCACCUCCGCCCUCCACCUCCAUCUCCACCUCCGCCCUCCAUCUCCACCUCCGCCCCCUGCCCAGGCGCUGCCGCCGCUGGAGUAGAGCUAGUGCUCUGCUGCCGCCCACACACAGGGGCUCCUCCUGACCCGCGCCCAGGUGGAGGCGAGCACAGGCUGUUCCGCCAUCUCCACCUCCGUACCCACCUCCGGCCACUGCAUCCAGGCGCAGGCGCUCCUCCUCUCCCACGUCCAGGAGCUGCUGCUGGGUUCGGCUGGUGCCCAGGUUCAUCUCCUCUCUCUGAUCAUUUGAUCUUCUGCUGGAGUACAUCUCUCUGUUGUCGCUGGAAACGAACUGCAAGCAUGAACAAUACUCAAGUGAUUCAAGAGAUGUACUAAUUCAAGAGUAGUCAAGAGUAAUUCAGAAGUGCCAACAUUUGAUUCAAGAAAUGUUUGCUGCCAAAAAUUCAACAAAUAAUUUGAACAAGUUAACUGAAUUAACUGUUGACUGUAGCAUUUCAGACAAUAGGAGUAGCAGACCAAACUGUAUUAACUGUUGACUGUGCAUCAUUGAUUUUGAAAAUUCUGGAAGAACCUCUGCCAUUAUGUUGAUUUACUUUAAAUAAAAAUCAUAGACUGAAAAUGUUGUCAUCUGGAUUACACAUGUUCUUUUUCUCAUUAGAGGAUCAUGAGAGAAAACUAUUGAAAAUAGUCUGGAGUAAAAAAAAUCUGAGAACACACACACAACAAAAACAGGUUCAUGACUGGAGUAGUACUGUAAUAAGACCUGACAAAACUUCUUUUGGCUGGGAGAGAUUUGAGUGUUUUUAUAUCAUUGCUAAGAGAUUUUAUUACUGUAAUAAGACUUGACAAAACAUCUUGAACUGAUAAUCUACAGCAAACUUGCUUGAAUGCAAUGCAAGUUGUACCUCGAUCUGUCCUGAAACAAUGACCACGUAGCAAAGAGAGGAAUGAACUGCAAACAUAAACAAUUUGAUGAGAAUUUGGUUCAACUAGCCAAUAAUUUGAUCUAACCAUUUGACAAAAUCCGAAUCUACUGAUGCAGGAAUACUGUCAAAUUACUGUUGGAGUACAAUUCAGAUUACAACAGCAGUACCUGAAAGCAGCAGAAGAUGGUUGUCCCAGACCUCAACUGCACUCCACCUGCAGAAGAUGCAGAAGAUGAAAUGGGUGAUGAUGAUGCAGGAGUACAAAUGGAUGAAGAUGUAGGAGUACAAAUGGAUGAAGAUGCGGGAGUACAACAUGCAGGUAUAGCUACAGUGGCAUUUCAGAAAUUUUCAGUUAGUGGUGGAAGAAAAAAAUCAGUUAAAUUACAGAAUACAGUUUGAUGAUAUGAUCAUAUCAUCAUUUGAUCAUUUGAUGAUAUGAUCAUAUCAUCAUUUGAAUGCUUAUGUUCAUUUGACCAUUUUUCCUUUGAUCAUUUGAUCAUUUUUCCUUUGCUGUAUUUCUUCGUGCAGGUGUUGAGCAAUCAGUUAAGAAAAGGGAUAGCCUCGAUGACAAGCAAAAGUAUGCUGCUUAUGUUGCAAUGCACACACUGUGCAUGAGUAGAGGGGGCAAAUUUGAAAGAGAUGACAAGAAAAAGAUUGCCAGUUUCUUUGGAGUGGGUGUAUGGAAUGUACAAAGAGUUUGGAAGAAAGCAAUGAAGCAAAUUGCUCAAGGUCUGGAGGUGGAUGUUUCAAGUCAGAGAAAAAAGAACCGUGGAAGAAAGCCAAAGGACAUUAAUCUAGAUCAAAUACCUACCAUUCCACUUAACAAGCGGUCUACUAUCAGGUCACUUGCUUGGCAACUCGGUUGCAGCCCUACGACACUCCACCGGAAGUUCAUGCUGAAGUUGAUAAAGAGGCAUACAAACUAUUUGAAGCCAGUUUUGAAGGAAAAGAACAAGAAGGAUAGAAUGGAAUUUUGCUUGUCAAUGCUCGAUGAGACAACAACACAAACUGAAAGGCCAAAAUUCAAGACCAUGCACAACAUUAUUCAUAUUGACGAGAAAUGGUUCUAUAUGACCAAGAAAAUCAGGAACUAUUAUCUGCUAUAUGGGGAGGAAGAGCCUACGAGAACUAUACAAAACGGCAGUUGGAAAAGUCGUGUUCUUGGCGGCUAUUGCUAGGCCAAGGUGGGAUAGUGAAGGAAAUGUGACAUUUUCUGGGAAAAUUGGAAUUUGGCCGUUUGUGAAAGAAGUUCCGGCUCAGAGGAGAAGCGACAACAGGCCCAGAGGAACAAUGGAGACGAAGUCCAUAAAAGUCAACAGGCAAGUAAUGAGAGAGUUCAUGAUAGAUAACCUACUACCAGCAAUACAAGCAUCUUGGCCUGAGAAUGAUGCUGGGCAAACCAUCUAUAUACAACAAGACAACGCCAAGCCCCAUAUCUUGCCCAACGACCCAGAAUUUGUAGCAGCCGCGGAAAGAACUGGACUCGACAUCAGACUAAUUCAACAACCUGCCAAUAGCCCUGAUCUGAAUGGCCUUGACCUUGGGUUCUUCAACUCGUUGCAAUCUCUGACAGAUUGUCUAAGCCCUAGAACGCUUCAGGAUCUUAUCAAGGGUGUGCUAGAUGAAUUUGAAAACUAUGAAGUUUACAAGCUGAACAGAGUUUUCCUAUCUCUACAAGCUUGCAUGAUUGAAAUCUUGAACCACGCAGGGGGCAAUGGGUAUAAAAUACCCCAUGCGAACAAGGAAAGGCUAGAGAACCUUGGGAUGCUACCUCCAAGACUUACAUGCCCUGAAGAGGUAUAUGCAAAUGCCAUGCACAAUCUUGGGAUAAUGGAGAGAGUUCAGUGAUGGAAGAAGAGGCUUGACAUACUUGUCGAGAUGCUUGUUGAUAUGCUUGAGGAGUUAGUUGUUGAGAUGCUUGAGGAGUUGCUUGUUGAGAUGCUUGUCGAGAUGCUUGUCGAGAUGCUUGAGGAGUUGCUUGUUGAGAUGCUUGUCGAGAUGCUUAUUCAUAUGCUUGUCGAGAUGCUUAUUCAUAUGCUUGAGGAGUUUCUUGUCGAGAUGCUUGUUCAGAUGCUUGAGGAGUUGCUUGUUGAGAUGCUUGUCGAGAUGCUUGUUGAUAUGCUUGAGGAGUUGCUUGUCGAGAUGCUUGUUCAGAUGCUUGAGGAGUUGCUUGUUGAGAUGCUUGUCGAGAUGCUUGAGGAGUUGCUUGUUGAGAUGCUUGUCGAGAUACUUGAGGAGUUGCUUGUUAAGAUGCUUGUGAUUAUUUGUGUGGAGUAUGUGUAACUCCUUGUUUGUGUGGAGUAUAUGUAAAUCCUAGAGAUGAGGCUUGUGCGGAGUAUAUGUAACUCCUUGAGAAGAGACUUGUGUGGAGUGCAUCAUUUGUAUGAUCAUUUUAAUUAACCAAGAACUACUCCUACAUACUCCAAGAACUACUCCUACUCCUACUCCAAGAACAACUCCUACUCCUAAUUUUAAUUAAAACUAAGCAGCAAGUCCACACGAUUUUAAUUUUAAUUUAAGGAAAAUCCACACGAUUUUACAGAAGCUUGUAUGGCAUGUCAUGAUUUUACAGAAACUACUCCUAUCAUGAUUUUGCUGUCAUUAAUAUGCAAGCAACAAUUAAGUUCACAAUAUUAUGCAAGUUAACAAGCUUCAGUAGCCCAAGUUUCAGUAGACAAGUUAACAAAAGCUACAGACGACAACUUUUAAAAGAAGCUAUAGAAGCUUCAUGAGAAUAAGUUAUUUUUAACAGAAGCUACAGAAAAUUUACACUCAACAUGCACAACAAAUUUACACAGAGAGAGGAGAGGACCAAUUUGCACAGUGAGUUUCAAGCAAUUAACAAAACAAGUUAACUUGUUUGGCCCCUUUUUUCUUUUCAGUUAACAAGACUGGUAAGCAAGUGAACAAAUUCAGAACAAGCCUGGAGUAUAUGUAGAGAUACAAGUGCUCCUACUGAACAAGACUGGAGUAUAUGCAGAGAUACAAGUACUCCUACUGGAAUAUCUAAACAUGUUUGACUGCUUAAGCAUGCAGAACAAGACUGGAGUACAUAAACAUGUUCGACUACAGAAGUUCCCUCGCCAAAGCAAUGAACAUUCAUGACUAGCAAGGGAACUGCAAGAUUAAGAAGCUACUCUGCACUCUACCUGCAGUAGAUAAACAAACUGUAAUACAAGUAUGCAAAAUAUGUAUUGAGAUUGCAAAGUUACUUAAAGUAGAAAAAUGUAUCCAACUGAGAUUGUGGUAAGCUCUUGAUUGGAGUGCAAAAUGUAUCCAGCUAAGUUACUUGUUGAGAUGGAGGAAGUUGUUCAAAUGAUUAAAUCGGGACCAACUAACUGAAUCAGGAGGAACUUUAUGUCUCGACAACUACGGCAUAAUAAACACACAAGAAUAACUGAAUCAGGAGUAGAAACCACGAGUGAGACUGCGAGAGUUCAUCGCCAACCAUUCAAAACAAGAAAAAGAAAAAUGUGGGAUCUGCAAGAAAAAUGUGAGUAUGUUCGAUGCCUGCAAUUUUCGUUCUCUGAAAAUAUGAACCUGCUUCAGUGGCUCAGCCGCAACAUGGCGUAGAUACAAAGGAGAGCAUUACCAUCCUACUCCAUUCAGCAAUUCACACACAUACUCCAGAAUCCAUCAGCAAGUUGCUCUAGGCCUGGGGUGAUCCAUCAGCUUCAUCUUUGCUUGCACAGCAACAAUCACACGAUUUCAGUAACUUUGUGAAGGCUUCAGAGCCGUAGUGGAGUCCGGCACACUGCAUUUUCAAGCUACUGCAUCAAGUUUUCAUUAACCAAAUCGAUGCACUGCUACUCUAACAUCAACUACUCCUGCAAAUGGAUAAGAGAGGAGGCAUGGAGAAGAAACACCGUACCAGAUCCGUGAGGACGACCAAGCCGCUCCAGAUCCGCCAGUUGCUCCCGCGCCUCUCCAAAUACGCCGCUCGGCCUCCGCUAUGCAUCCAGUGCCGACGAGCGCAGAUCCAGCGCCUCCCUCGCCUAGAUCGAGCGCCGGCGCACGCAAAUCCAUCGCCUCUGUCGCCCAGAAGCUCGUCGCCGGCGCAAAAAAAUCAUUCUUUGACCUUGGAUGUGGGGCGUGAAUGGACGCCGGCUGUGAGUGGACGCCAGACGUGAAUGGAUGCCGGCUGUGGACGCGGAGAAAGGUGGCGGCGACGGGGAGAUAUGCUAGAGAGGCCGGCGACGGGGAGUCAGGGAGAUGCCGGCAGGAGUCGGGGAGAGCGAUGGGGAGAAGAGGGGAGCGAUGGGGAGAAGAGAGGCGAGCGAGUGAGCGAGUGGGCUGUGAGCGGAGUGAGGGGUAAUUUCGGAAAGUGCGAGAAUUCCGUAACGUGUCGAAAU